UGUCGUGAAGCUAAGUUGGUAAAGCGUCGCAGUAUUGCGGAGGUCGCGGGUUCGAAUCCCGCCACGGCAA
RNAcentral lists this transfer RNA (70 nucleotides) under Prevotella sp. RNAcentral describes it as "tRNA-OTHER". It matches the Rfam family "tRNA". Rfam says of the family: Transfer RNA (tRNA) molecules are approximately 80 nucleotides in length. Their secondary structure includes four short double-helical elements and three loops (D, anti-codon, and T loops). Lineage: Bacteria; Pseudomonadati; Bacteroidota; Bacteroidia; Bacteroidales; Prevotellaceae. The record is from RNAcentral.